CGACGGGUGAGUAAACGUGGGCAAUCUGCCCUUCACUCUGGGACAAGCCCUGGAAACGGGGUCUAAUACCGGAUAACACUUCUGCUCUCAUGGGCAGGGGUUAAAAGCUCCGGCGGUGAAGGAUGAGCCCGCGGCCUAUCAGCUUGUUGGUGAGGUAAUGGCUCACCAAGGCGACGACGGGUAGCCGGCCUGAGAGGGCGACCGGCCACACUGGGACUGAGACACGGCCCAGACUCCUACGGGAGGCAGCAGUGGGGAAUAUUGCACAAUGGGCGAAAGCCUGAUGCAGCGACGCCGCGUGAGGGAUGACGGCCUUCGGGUUGUAAACCUCUUUCAGCAGGGAAGAAGCGAAAGUGACGGUACCUGCAGAAGAAGCGCCGGCUAACUACGUGCCAGCAGCCGCGGUAAUACG
This 412-nucleotide ribosomal RNA is filed under the name Streptomyces sp. MBT35. Its description in RNAcentral is "bacterial SSU rRNA". It matches the Rfam family "Bacterial small subunit ribosomal RNA", at positions 100 to 527 of the family's 1533-position model. Lineage: Bacteria; Bacillati; Actinomycetota; Actinomycetes; Kitasatosporales; Streptomycetaceae. The record is from RNAcentral.